Molecule: ribosomal RNA, 379 nt
Filed under: uncultured eukaryote
Lineage: Eukaryota
Description: partial 18S ribosomal RNA
Rfam family: Eukaryotic small subunit ribosomal RNA
Source: RNAcentral
CAAUAGCGUAUAUUAAAGUUGUUGUAGUUAAAAAGCUCGUAGUUGGAUUUGUGGCGUACGGUGUGUUCCGGGCACUUGUUGUCUGAGCAACCUGCUGUUGCCAUCCUUGGGUGGAACCUGUGUGGCAUUAGGUUGUCGUGCAGGGGAUGCCCAUCAUUUACUGUGAAAAAUUAGAGUGUUCAAAGCAGGCUUAUACCGUUGAAUAUAUUGGCAUGGAAUAAUGAGAUAGGACUUUUUUGCUAUUUUGUUGGUUUGCGCAAAGAGGUAAUGAUUAAUAGGGACAGUUGGGGGUAAUCGUAUUCCAUAGUCAGAGGUGAAAUUCUUGGAUUUUUGGAAGACGAACUACUGCGAAAGCAUUUACCAAGGAUGUUUUCAUUAA